This 473-nucleotide ribosomal RNA is filed under the name uncultured bacterium. RNAcentral's name for it is "bacterial SSU rRNA". It matches the Rfam family "Bacterial small subunit ribosomal RNA", at positions 335 to 800 of the family's 1533-position model. The record is from RNAcentral.
ACUCCUACGGGAGGCAGCAGUGGGGAAUAUUGCACAAUGGGCGCAAGCCUGAUGCAGCCAUGCCGCGUGUAUGAAGAAGGCCUUCGGGUUGUAAAGUACUUUCAGCAGUGAGGAAGGUGGGUAUGUUAAUAGCAUACUCAUUUGACGUUAGCUGCAGAAGAAGCACCGGCUAACUCCGUGCCAGCAGCCGCGGUAAUACGGAGGGUGCGAGCGUUAAUCGGAAUUACUGGGCGUAAAGCGCAUGCAGGUGGUUUGUUAAGUCAGAUGUGAAAGCCCGGGGCUCAACCUCGGAAUUGCAUUUGAAACUGGCAAACUAGAGUACUGUAGAGGGGGGUAGAAUUUCAGGUGUAGCGGUGAAAUGCGUAGAGAUCUGAAGGAAUACCGGUGGCGAAGGCGGCCCCCUGGACAGAUACUGACACUCAGAUGCGAAAGCGUGGGGAGCAAACAGGAUUAGAUACCCUGGUAGGCCCAGC